This 701-nucleotide ribosomal RNA is filed under the name Micrococcus sp. Its description in RNAcentral is "bacterial SSU rRNA". It matches the Rfam family "Bacterial small subunit ribosomal RNA", at positions 101 to 816 of the family's 1533-position model. Lineage: Bacteria; Bacillati; Actinomycetota; Actinomycetes; Micrococcales; Micrococcaceae. The record is from RNAcentral.
AACGGGUGAGUAACACGUGAGUAACCUGCCCUUAACUCUGGGAUAAGCCUGGGAAACUGGGUCUAAUACCGGAUAGGAGCGCCUACCGCAUGGUGGGUGUUGGAAAGAUUUAUCGGUUUUGGAUGGACUCGCGGCCUAUCAGCUUGUUGGUGAGGUAAUGGCUCACCAAGGCGACGACGGGUAGCCGGCCUGAGAGGGUGACCGGCCACACUGGGACUGAGACACGGCCCAGACUCCUACGGGAGGCAGCAGUGGGGAAUAUUGCACAAUGGGCGCAAGCCUGAUGCAGCGACGCCGCGUGAGGGAUGACGGCCUUCGGGUUGUAAACCUCUUUCAGUAGGGAAGAAGCGAAAGUGACGGUACCUGCAGAAGAAGCACCGGCUAACUACGUGCCAGCAGCCGCGGUAAUACGUAGGGUGCGAGCGUUAUCCGGAAUUAUUGGGCGUAAAGAGCUCGUAGGCGGUUUGUCGCGUCUGUCGUGAAAGUCCGGGGCUUAACCCCGGAUCUGCGGUGGGUACGGGCAGACUAGAGUGCAGUAGGGGAGACUGGAAUUCCUGGUGUAGCGGUGGAAUGCGCAGAUAUCAGGAGGAACACCGAUGGCGAAGGCAGGUCUCUGGGCUGUAACUGACGCUGAGGAGCGAAAGCAUGGGGAGCGAACAGGAUUAGAUACCCUGGUAGUCCAUGCCGUAAACGUUGGGCAC